CUCCAGCGCCUCCCAGAAGCAGCCGUUUUUGGAGUACGAAGCCAUCAUCGUGUUCCAAGCGACGAGGUGGUUUGGAGCCGGGAUUUGCUCGAACACCGCUCGCGAUUCCUCCAGGUUCCCACACUUCGCAUAGAGAUUCAUGAGAGCGUUCCCGACAACGAUGUCCCGAUCCAAUCCGGCCUCCACAACCGCGGCGUGGAUCAUCCGUCCCUCCACGAUCGAAGGAAUGCUCGCACAGGCGUCCAGCACGCCCACGUAGCUGAACUUAUCGGGAUGGAAGCCCUCCACCACCAUUCUCUUGAAGAGUUUGAGCGAUUCGACAUGGCCACCCUCGCCAGAGCUCGAAGAAGCGUACAUCGCGAUCAUGAUGUUCCACGAGUUGAGAUCCCGCGUGAUCAUGGCAUCGAACAUCUCCCUGGCUUUGGAGAGGCGCCUGUUCUGCGUGUAAGCCGUGACCAUCGCAUUCCACGACACAGUGUUCUUUACGGGCAUGUCUUGGAACACGGCCUCAGCAUCUGCAAGAUGCCCGUUCUGGGCAUACGCAGCAACCAUCGCCGUCCACGUCACUACAUUCUUCUCGGGCAUCUCCUGAAAGACUUGAAACGCUUCUUGGGCACUUCCACACUUCCCAUACAUGUCUACGAGCGCGGUCCCCAGCACGACGUCGCAAUUGUAGUCUUCCCCGGAAGCGACGAUCGUGGAGUGGAUGAUCUUCGCUACUGCAAUUCCCGCAGGCGCAUCUAGAGCUUGGAUCACACUCAGAUAUGAUACCUUGUCCGGCUCAACUCCCUGGAAAUCCAUCUCUCGAAACAGCUCCAGCGCCUCUUGCAUAAGCCCAUUCUGGGCAAAUGCUGCUACCAUCGCGUUCCAGGCCACCACGUCUCGAACUGGCAUAUGGCGAAACAAUGAUCUUGCGUCGUCGAGGUUGCAGCUUUGCGCGCAAGCAACCAAAAUCGCCGUCCAGGAAAUGGCGUCCCAAAGAGGCAUCUUCCUGAACAGCGUAUGUGCCUUCUGCAAAUGCCCAUUCUGGGCAAAUGCGGAGAUCAUCGUGUUGAGCGAGUAGAUGUUGGGUGUCUCGAUGCGCUCGAACGCGGCGAUGGCGUCGCCGAGUCUCCCACACUUUCCGUACAUCUGGACGAGGUUGUUUCCCAGAUACGUAUCGCGGUCGUAGCCGGCGAGCGCGAUCCGUUCGUGGAGCCGGCGACCCUCUCCCAGUGCCUUGGCGCUGGCGCACCGCCGGAGGAGAGAUCCAAAUCUUCCCACAUCGAUCGCGUUCUUUCCAGAGUCGCGGAGGAGGAGCCCAUCGAUCGCCUGCUUGAGCUGCUCGCGCAAACUCUUGUCGCUUAAUCUGGGCGAUGCUGCUGCUGCUGCUGCUGGAUGCUCGUCGUCGCAGCUUAAGUUCUUGCCCACCACUUUUCCUAUAUUUUAAACUCCAUUGGUAAUAUUAGUUUUGCUUGAACUCUAUUGAUGUUAUGAUUAAGUAGUAGUUCUCUAGUAAAGGUUAUAUAUAACUCUAGUACAUUAGUGUUUGCUAUCAUUUCUUCAAAUGCUUAAUUUAAAAGAUUUUAUAACUUGCCUCCAACCUUCAAGGAGGUAUUAAGAUUUUAAUAUAUAAAUAAUUUUGUUUUAUAGAUCACAAUCACUUUAGAGUUUUUAGAACUUGAGGCUCUGGAAGUUUUUACAAAGAGCUAGACCAUUCUUGAGCUCACAAGUUAAAGAGUUGAAUUUAUGAGUUAAGUUUGAUACAAACAUUAUAAGCUUUAACAUAUUAUGGCAAAUAUUUUCACAACUCUCUGAAUAUUAUAUAAAUAUAAAGGAAUACAUAUAUUGAUGGAGCUAUUUGUUUGUAAAUUAUAAUAGAAGUAAAUUUAGGUGGACUUAAAUAAUUAAAAGAAUUAUAUAAGCCACUCCAUGAAUGUAAGCCCUUCAUAUAAUAUUAAUUUUAAAUAACUAUUCCAAAACUAUUUUGGAGUAUUAGAAAAAAUGACAUUGUGAAUAACAAAGAAUUAAAUAUUUGUUUUAUGAAGAUGUAAACAUAUUUAGAAACAGUGAGGUUGGCAUUAUAAAUAUCUCAAUUUGUUAUAAUCUGGACCAUCCAAUAUUUGUAUAAGUAUGUUAGUAUUCCUUUAAAAAUUGUAUCAUGUCUUUAGGCAUUAUAUUAAUGUUUUUAUUUAGAUUAAUUAAUGCUCCUGAGGUUGGCUUUCGACCAGAAGAUACAGAUUAUAUAAAUUCAAAUACUACAAAUAGGAUUAUAUCAGCUCUACUUUUAAUGGUAAAAGCUAAAAUUCCUCCUCAUGCAGCAGUACCAUUAGGUCAAGGUAUCAAAGCUGAGGUAAUUCUGCCAGAUGAAAUAUAUGGUAAAAUAAGUGUGAAUGUACAAAUAUGGCUUUAUAGCCAUGAAAGAGGGAAAAGUUUCAGGCAUUGUUCUGCUUAUCCUACUGGAGAGAAUGGUAAUACUACUGCCAUUAUAUUAGAUUUACUUUACUUAUUAAUGUACUACCGUCCUAUUCUUAUAUCUUUAGGUUCUAGAUUAAUUGCUUUAACAUCAGGGAUCUAUGGUAUUUACUAUUGGGUUAGAAAUGUACCUCCAGCAGGGCAACCUAGCUCUAGAACAUCAGAUCAAUUUAUUAAUACAUCAAAUAAAAUUAACAAUUUUAAUGAUUGUCAUAUUUCCUUGAAUACAUUAAUUAGCUCUACAAUUCAUAAUAUUUUAUUAGAAUUCCAUUUUAUAACAUCUCCAAAUCAAAAAGCAUACUUAUAUUUGCAUCCUAAUUGCAAAUUAGAAUUAUAUAUUGGAAAUAAAUCAAAGUGGUUUAAAUCAGGAAAUUAUAUAAAAUGUUAUCUUGUAUUACAGGGCCUUCCUCUCCCGCCCCAUGCGGCUUGGCUGCCUCCCAUUGGCCGGGAGCAAACAUCAGCGCGAUUAUUCUCAAACACGUGGUUAAAGAAAUAACCCCUUUACAGUUACCCCCCAUCGGACAGCCCAAUUGGCUGGAUCCGGCGGCCCACAAAGUUCGGCAUUUGCUCCUUAUAGUAGUAGAUAAACAAAAAAAUUGUGUGGUCACCAAAUGAAUAUUGUUAUCCCCAACCAAAUUGUGUGAUGAACUCAUAUCUUUCAUUACAAAACAAUUGUAAUUUAGUUUUAUACCAAAAUAUACAAGAUACGUUUUCUAAAGUACCAAGAGUUCAAAUCCUUUGGUCAACUGGUACUUUUUGUAAUUAAGAAACAUUAAUAUAGAAUUAUUAUUUAUGUUGUUCUUCCCAAUCUUCUACUUCAUUCCAGCGUCCCAUGUCUGUAGUACCCAUGUCUGUGGUACACAAGGUAAUGCUUGAAAGAGUAAAUUUGGGAAUUCCUGGAAAUGCCAGCACCAAACCCAGUGGUGAUUGAAGCAAGGAAUUGCUUCACAAGACAUGCCAAUUUUUUGUCUUUUUCUUUUGUAAGGUUCGAUAGAACGAAAAUGGAUGCUUGAAUUUCACUCUACAAGACUGUUUAGUUGUUCCGUGAAAUCAAUUUGAUCAAGCCCCUCCUUGGCCCGGUGGCUAUCUCCAUGUGUCUUGUAAGCACCCAGCAGCGUUCUCAUUGCGACAUCAUCAGCCUCUACCGGCAUGCCUUGGAUCAAUUCCUCGGCGUCUCUCAGCUGGCCAGCUCGAGCAAGCAGAUCGAUCAUGCACAUAAAAUGGUCACGAACCGGCUGGAUCCCGAAGUCUAGCUGCAUGGACACGAAGAAGGAGCAGCCAUCUUCGUAUCGCCCCCCAUGGCUGCAAGAGAAGAUGACGCUCACGAACGUGAUCUCGUCCGGAUCAACACCUCGCAAGAUCAUCGCCACGAACAGCUCCAGCGCCUCCCAGAAGCAGCCGUUUUUGGAGUACGAAGCCAUCAUCGUGUUCCAAGCGACGAGGUGGUUUGGAGCCGGGAUUUGCUCGAACACCGCUCGCGAUUCCUCCAGGUUCCCACACUUCGCAUAGAGAUUCAUGAGAGCGUUCCCGACAACGAUGUCCCGAUCCAAUCCGGCCUCCACAACCGCGGCGUGGAUCAUCCGUCCCUCCACGAUCGAUGGAAUGCUCGCA
This 4065-nucleotide long non-coding RNA is filed under the name Selaginella moellendorffii. Its description in RNAcentral is "long non-coding RNA (SMOE_LNC001143)". The record is from RNAcentral. Lineage: Eukaryota; Viridiplantae; Streptophyta; Lycopodiopsida; Selaginellales; Selaginellaceae.